UUUUCUUUUAACCUUUUCAAAAGAUCUGGGCUUUUUGUCUCCUUCUCCUCCCCCUCUUCUUCCACUUCCUGCUCCUCCUCCUCCUCCUAUUUCCUUAUUUCAUGGAUCACUCAGAAGUCACCUUUCCUUGCCUUUGCAGAAAAUAAGAUUUAACCAAAUCUAACAACAACAACAACAACAAAAGUCACACCAGGAUAUCAGGCUGUUCUAGAGUCAAAAGGGCCUUGAGGAAUCAGUAAACAGCAGAAUUCUUGCCUUUCUUUCCAGGAAAGAAAAAAAAAAAAAAGACCUUCACUUUAUCACUGUGUGGAAAUCACCUCAAAGCUAAAGAUGCAUGUAGCUGUGUGACUAGACAAGGGGGCUGCUGACUGGCAGGAAGUGCCCCAGCUGCCAGUUAUGCAAAUAGCGAGAGCUCUGUGUCUAGGAAGAAAACAGAGAGGUUUAGUAUGGCUGACUCAGAUCAUUUGUCUGAGGAGAAAUAAAAGGCUCACGAGUAGUUUAUGUGGUUUUUUUGUUUGUGUAUUUUUUUUUAAUCCACUCCUCCCUCUUGGUGCAAAGUUCAGGAUCAGGGAAAGAUCUCAGUAAAUGCUGAUUACACUGUAUUUUGUCGUUUGUAAACAUCAACCUUCUUAUGUAUAACUAAUGCAUAUUUUACGGUUUAUCUCGCACCUAACAUUCUUCAACCCCUUCAUUGUAUAGGAUUUAAAGUCUGGUCUUACAGCUGAAUUUAAUGACAAGACAAGCCAUUGAGGUUCUUUAUGUACUAUAGCCUGAGGCAGUGCUGCUUUUGAUUUAUUAGGGUCCUUUGCACACACACACCC
This 821-nucleotide long non-coding RNA is filed under the name Rattus norvegicus (Norway rat). RNAcentral describes it as "long non-coding RNA NONRATT010501". The record is from RNAcentral. Lineage: Eukaryota; Metazoa; Chordata; Mammalia; Rodentia; Muridae.